GGAGAGGUGUCCGAGUGGCCGAUGGUGCCUGACUCGAAAUCAGGUUUGGGGCAACCCAACGGGGGUUCAACUCCCUCCCUCUCCGCCA
Molecule: transfer RNA, 88 nt
Filed under: Geobacteraceae bacterium
Lineage: Bacteria; Pseudomonadati; Thermodesulfobacteriota; Desulfuromonadia; Geobacterales; Geobacteraceae
Also listed under: 1 other name
Description: tRNA-Ser
Rfam family: tRNA
About the family: Transfer RNA (tRNA) molecules are approximately 80 nucleotides in length. Their secondary structure includes four short double-helical elements and three loops (D, anti-codon, and T loops). Further hydrogen bonds mediate the characteristic L-shaped molecular structure. tRNAs have two regions of fundamental functional importance: the anti-codon, which is responsible for specific mRNA codon recognition, and the 3' end, to which the tRNAs corresponding amino acid is attached (by aminoacyl-tRNA synthetases). tRNAs cope with the degeneracy of the genetic code in two manners: having more than one tRNA (with a specific anti-codon) for a particular amino acid; and 'wobble' base-pairing, i.e. permitting non-standard base-pairing at the 3rd anti-codon position.
Source: RNAcentral